GAGGAAUAUUGGUCAAUGGGCGGAAGCCUGAACCAGCCAUCCCGCGUGCAGGAAGACGGCCCUAUGGGUUGUAAACUGCUUUUCCAGGGGGAGAAACUUUCCGAUGUAUCGGGAUUUGACGGUACCCUGGGAAUAAGCAUCGGCUAACUCCGUGCCAGCAGCCGCGGUAAUACGGAGGAUGCGAGCGUUAUCCGGAUUUAUUGGGUUUAAAGGGUGCGUAGGCGGGUUAAUAAGUCAGUGGUGAAAACCUACAGCUUAACUGUAGACUUGCCGUUGAUACUGUUAGUCUUGAGUAUGGUCAAGGUAGGCGGAAUGUGUAAUGUAGCGGUGAAAUGCUUAGAUAUUACACAGAACACCGAUUGCGAAGGCAGCUUACUGGGCCAUUACUGACGCUGAUGCACGAAAGCGUGGGGAUCAAAC
Molecule: ribosomal RNA, 420 nt
Filed under: uncultured bacterium
Lineage: Bacteria
Description: bacterial SSU rRNA
Rfam family: Bacterial small subunit ribosomal RNA
Source: RNAcentral